RNAcentral lists this ribosomal RNA (458 nucleotides) under uncultured bacterium. Its description in RNAcentral is "partial 16S ribosomal RNA". It matches the Rfam family "Bacterial small subunit ribosomal RNA", at positions 338 to 795 of the family's 1533-position model. The record is from RNAcentral.
CCUACGGGUGGCAGCAGUGGGGAAUAUUGCACAAUGGGGGAAACCCUGAUGCAGCGACGCCGCGUGAGUGAAGAAGUAAUUCGUUACGGAAAGCCCUAUCAGCAGGGAAGAAACACUGACCUUACGGUCAGCAGACGGUACCUGAGUAAGAAGCGCCGGCUAACUACGCGCCAGCAGCCGCGGUAAGACGUAGGGGGCAAGCGUUAUCCGGAUUUACUGGGUGUAAAGGGAGCGUAGACGGUGCGCCAAGUCUAGAGUGAAAUGUCGCAGCUUAAAUGCGGAACUGCUUUGGAAACUGGCGAACUAGAGUGCGGGAGGGGUAAGCGGAAUUCCUGGUGUAGCGGUGAAAUGCGUAGAUAUUAGGAGGAACACCGGUGGCGAAGGCGGCUUACUGGACCGUAACUGACGUUGAGGCUCGAAAGCGUGGGGAGCAAACAGGAUUAGAUACCCGGGUAGUC